Molecule: ribosomal RNA, 539 nt
Filed under: uncultured bacterium
Lineage: Bacteria
Description: bacterial SSU rRNA
Rfam family: Bacterial small subunit ribosomal RNA
Source: RNAcentral
GAGGAAUAUUGGUCAAUGGGCGCAAGCCUGAACCAGCCAAGUAGCGUGCAGGAAGACGGCCCUAUGGGUUGUAAACUGCUUUUAUACGAGAGUAAUUCGAUGCACGUGUGCGUUAUUGCAUGUAUCGUAUGAAUAAGGACCGGCUAAUUCCGUGCCAGCAGCCGCGGUAAUACGGAAGGUCCAGGCGUUAUCCGGAUUUAUUGGGUUUAAAGGGAGUGUAGGCGGUUUGUUAAGCGUGUUGUGAAAUUUAGGUGCUCAACAUUUAACUUGCAGCGCGAACUGUCAGACUUGAGUACACGCAACGUAUGCGGAAUUCAUGGUGUAGCGGUGAAAUGCUUAGAUAUCAUGAAGAACUCCGAUUGCGAAGGCAGCAUACGGGAGUGUAACUGACGCUUAAGCUCGAAGGUGCGGGUAUCGAACAGGAUUAGAUACCCUGGUAGUCCGCACAGUAAACGAUGGAUGCCCGCUGUUAGCGCCUGGCGUUAGCGGCUAAGCGAAAGCAUUAAGCAUCCCACCUGGGGAGUACGCCGGCAACGGUG